AAUCCAUGAUGAGGGAAAUCACGUUCAUACUCCUUAAAACGUUCCCAAGCUUCAUAGAAAGAUUCAGUUGGCCCAUGUUGAAAGGUUGAGAUCUUCGUUCUCAAAUU
Molecule: small nucleolar RNA, 107 nt
Filed under: Eutrema salsugineum
Lineage: Eukaryota; Viridiplantae; Streptophyta; Magnoliopsida; Brassicales; Brassicaceae
Description: Plant small nucleolar RNA R71
Rfam family: Plant small nucleolar RNA R71
About the family: R71 is a member of the C/D box family of snoRNAs containing the C (UGAUGA) and D (CUGA) box motifs.
Source: Rfam by way of RNAcentral